RNAcentral lists this unclassified non-coding RNA (1005 nucleotides) under Hevea brasiliensis (rubber tree). The record is from RNAcentral. Lineage: Eukaryota; Viridiplantae; Streptophyta; Magnoliopsida; Malpighiales; Euphorbiaceae.
GGGUCAGCUAUAUGGAUCAUUUUUCACCAUUUAGUUCUGUUAGAUACCAAGUGCACAUCAAUACACCAUUCAUAAUAUGUUUUAAAGUCCACAUGGUAAAAGGAUAAGAAUUAUAGACAAGGGGAAAAAAAGUAGAAUAGAAGUGUCAUGGUCUGAUGGAGAGGAUAAAGGUCUUCACCAUUUGUAUAGGUACAAUCCUAGUAGAAGUAGUUUACACAUAAAAGUUAAAAUUUUGGGCAAAUCCGAAGAAGGUUUUCCUAUAUGUUCAUUGCAAAAUAUUUCCAGAUCCCAAAUACUAAAUGCCAAAUAGAUGUUCAGUUCAUGAUUCAUGGGUUAUAUAUUCUUCAAAUUUCUACCAACCAUUAACGGCAUCGGGCCAUUAAUAUGUUUAAAGCUGAACUGCUUGAAGUUUACAGCAAGGUAUUAUCUCUAUUAUCUAAUACUGAGUCACUGCAAAAAUGGGCAAAAACUAUAAAAUUAGUCAAACACUUCCUUCAAAAAAUUACAAACCACAUCCCACUGCAUCCUCAACGUUCCAUUCACAAAUUUGUGUUUAUUUUUUGGGUAACAUAGUCCUACUCUUGAAUUCAAUAAGCUAAACUAAAACUAUAAAAUUUGCAGUUAUAUUUAGGAAAAAAAAUAGUCCAAAAUUUUGACCAUUACACAAGAUUUUUACAGACAUUUGGUAUGGCCCAAACAAAGUUGUAUACCACCAUUGUGUUUACAUUCAACAUUUCACAUCUUAAAUAUCUAUGAUCUUUGCAGCAAAAGAAAUAAAAAUAGAGAAAUUCUAAAACAGGCCACAAUACCCAUUUCAAAAUGAAAAAAUUAUUUACAAAUACACAUCAAUUCUUUCUCAAGCACAUCAUAUCACAAUACCUAUUUAACAAAAAGCGUAUCAAAAUCACAAUAUUCAUCUGACAAUAUGCAUAUCCCAAUACUCAUUUAACCAAUAAUGAAAAAAUAAAUUAAAAAGAAACAAUUCUAAUAAAAAAAAAUUAAAAU